This 253-nucleotide ribosomal RNA is filed under the name uncultured bacterium. RNAcentral describes it as "partial 16S ribosomal RNA". It matches the Rfam family "Bacterial small subunit ribosomal RNA", at positions 524 to 776 of the family's 1533-position model. The record is from RNAcentral.
UACGUAGGGUGCAAGCGUUGUCCGGAAUUAUUGGGCGUAAAGGGCUCGUAGGCGGUCCAUCGCGUCGGGAGUGAAAAGCUGGGGCUUAACCCCAGUCCUGCUUCCGAUACGGGUGGACUAGAGGUAGGUAGGGGAGAUCGGAAUUCCUGGUGUAGCGGUGAAAUGCGCAGAUAUUGGGAAGAACACCGGUGGCGAAGGCGGCCAUCUGGACCGCAACUGACGCUGAGGCGCGAAAGCGUGGGGAGCAAACAGG